RNAcentral lists this ribosomal RNA (497 nucleotides) under uncultured bacterium. Its description in RNAcentral is "partial 16S ribosomal RNA". It matches the Rfam family "Bacterial small subunit ribosomal RNA", at positions 28 to 507 of the family's 1533-position model. The record is from RNAcentral.
GAUGAACGCUGGCGGCGUGCCUAAUACAUGCAAGUCGAGCGAACGGACGAGAAGCUUGCUUCUCUGAUGUUAGCGGCGGACGGGUGAGUAACACGUGGAUAACCUACCUAUAAGACUGGGAUAACUUCGGGAAACCGGAGCUAAUACCGGAUAAUAUUUUGAACCGCAUGGUUCAAAAGUGAAAGACGGUCUUGCUGUCACUUAUAGAUGGAUCCGCGCUGCAUUAGCUAGUUGGUAAGGUAACGGCUUACCAAGGCAACGAUGCAUAGCCGACCUGAGAGGGUUGUCGGCCACCCUGGAACUGAGACACGGUCCAGACUCCUACGGGAGGCAGCAGUAGGGAAUCUUCCGCAAUGGGCGAAAGCAUGACGGAGCAACGCCGCGUGAGUGAUGAAGGUGUUCGGAGCGUAAAACUCUGUUAUUAGGGAAGAACAUAUGUGUAAGUAACUGUGCACAUCUUGACGGUACCUAAUCAGAAAGCCACGGCUAACUACGUG